AUCUUAUGUAACUUUUUCAUAACAUAGAAAUCAAUAGAUAAUAUAAAGAUAAAGUAUAUAUCCAAUUUUAUAAUGCUAUACUUAAGCACGGAUAUCUAUUUCUUUUAGCUUUACAGUCCUAACUAUGGUACCACGAUUAUCCACGUAGCAAGAGAUCUCAAGUCCAUGCUUUUUUUUAUGGUGGAGAUCUCAGGUCCACUCUUUUUUCCAUGGCAA
Molecule: long non-coding RNA, 216 nt
Filed under: Elaeis guineensis (African oil palm)
Lineage: Eukaryota; Viridiplantae; Streptophyta; Magnoliopsida; Arecales; Arecaceae
Description: long non-coding RNA (EGUI_LNC007523)
Source: RNAcentral